ACUCCUACGGGAGGCAGCAGUGGGGAAUAUUGCACAAUGGGGGAAACCCUGAUGCAGCCAUGCCGCGUGUGUGAAGAAGGCCUUCGGGUUGUAAAGCACUUUCAGCGAGGAGGAAAGGGUGUGUGUUAAUACCAUACAUCUGUGACGUUACUCGCAGAAGAAGCACCGGCUAACUCCGUGCCAGCAGCCGCGGUAAUACGGAGGGGGUUAGCGUUGUUCGGAAUUACUGGGCGUAAAGCGCGCGUAGGCGGACUGGAAAGUUGGGGGUGAAAUCCCAGGGCUCAACCCUGGAACUGCCUCCAAAACUAUCAGUCUAGAGUUCGAGAGAGGUGAGUGGAAUUCCGAGUGUAGAGGUGAAAUUCGUAGAUAUUCGGAGGAACACCAGUGGCGAAGGCGGCUCACUGGCUCGAUACUGACGCUGAGGUGCGAAAGUGUGGGGAGCAAACAGGAUUAGAUA
Molecule: ribosomal RNA, 457 nt
Filed under: uncultured bacterium
Lineage: Bacteria
Description: bacterial SSU rRNA
Rfam family: Bacterial small subunit ribosomal RNA
Source: RNAcentral